Molecule: ribosomal RNA, 482 nt
Filed under: uncultured bacterium
Lineage: Bacteria
Description: partial 16S ribosomal RNA
Rfam family: Bacterial small subunit ribosomal RNA
Source: RNAcentral
AUUGAACGCUGGCGGCAUGCUUUACACAUGCAAGUCGAACGGUAACAGGCCGCAAGGUGCUGACGAGUGGCGAACGGGUGCGUAAUGCAUCGGAACGUGCCCAGUCGUGGGGGAUAACUACUCGAAAGAGUAGCUAAUACCGCAUACGAUCUAUGGAUGAAAGCGGGGGACCGUAAGGCCUCGCGCGAUUGGAGCGGCCGAUGUCAGAUUAGGUAGUUGGUGGGGUAAAGGCUCACCAAGCCAACGAUCUGUAGCUGGUCUGAGAGGACGACCAGCCACACUGGGAAUGAGACACGGCACAGACUCCUACGGGAGGCAGCAGUGGGGAAUUUUGGACAAUGGGCGCAAGCCUGAUCCAGCAAUGACGCGUGCAGGAAGAAGGCCUUCGGGUUGUAAACUGCUUUUGUACGGAACGAAACGGCUCUGGUUAAUACCCGGGGCUAAUGACGGUACCGUAAGAAUAAGCACCGGCUAACUACGUG